Molecule: ribosomal RNA, 251 nt
Filed under: uncultured bacterium
Lineage: Bacteria
Description: partial 16S ribosomal RNA
Rfam family: Bacterial small subunit ribosomal RNA
Source: RNAcentral
CUUUUGCUGGCGACCGGCGCACGGGUGAGUAACACGUAUCCAACCUGCCCUUUACUCGGGGAUAGCCUUUCGAAAGAAAGAUUAAUACCCGAUAGCAUAAUGAUUCCGCAUGGUUUCAUUAUUAAAGGAUUCCGGUAAAGGAUGGGGAUGCGUUCCAUUAGGUUGUUGGUGAGGUAACGGCUCACCAGGCCUUCGAUGGAUAGGGGUUCUGAGAGGAAGGUCCCCCACAUUGGAACUGAGACACGGUCCAA